This is a long non-coding RNA of Oreochromis niloticus (Nile tilapia), 4319 nucleotides long. RefSeq lists it as uncharacterized. The transcript has 2 exons. The record is from RefSeq and is a predicted model, not a curated record. Lineage: Eukaryota; Metazoa; Chordata; Actinopteri; Cichliformes; Cichlidae.
GAGCAGGUCAGCGAGCUGUCUCUGGUGUCUGUUGGCUGGGCGUUCUCCUCUCUGCUCCUUGGAGCCAAACACAGGCAACUUCACAGCCCACCUCCAUCGCUCAUCUUCUCAUCUUCCUUUAACUGUUUUCUCGCCGAGAAGCAACGCUGCGCCCACAUUUCCACUGUGCUGCAUGCUCCUUUUGUUUCCCCAUUGGCUCUUGCUGACUUCCUCUUGAACAUAAGCACAUUAACACCACAGCCAGCAGUGGGGAUAGAAGCGGAAUUUAAAAGUGGCUAUACAUUUGGUUAGUAACAGGACUGAACAUUAAAUGAAAGCCACGAAACUGACAUCUCCCUCCUUCUCUACACUGCCUGCAGCUUUUUUUGUCGACUUCACUUUAGCCACACGCCACAGCUAUGUCUGCUCCAGGAUCCAUCUGACCCCUAGCCAUAGCGUGGCUCUGCUGUCUUGUCAUGACAAUUGGAGUCUGUGUGGAAACAACUAGGACCAGUGUGCAGUGUCCACAGCAAGAGACACUGCUCAUCCGCUAAAUUCUUUGCACAGCAUAAGAGGAAAAUAACAAAGCGGUGCCUCAUUUGUAGUUCACAUAACAAGGGAUUUUUCAUGCUCACUGUGCACAUAAGUACUUUUAAUCCACAUACAGGUCAAGCUAAGAGUCUGUGUUACCUUACUUCACAGCAACAUUUUCCAACAUUUUUAGCCAUUUGACAAACAAAACUAUAUUUUAAGCUUGAGUAAAUGAAACCUCACUUAAAAAAGCAAAAGACAUUUACAAUCCAGGGUUUCCUCUUUGGUGGGCAACAAAAUGUUUUACAGGCAGGCACGAUGUCGAUUUAUCAAUCAAGGAGGUGAAUUACUUCUGGAAAAUGACUUAAAAGCAAAAAAUGAGACAAAAGUGAAAACUUUAUCAAUUCAGCCAAGCACAAGUGACUUGAAGCAUCUCUCUGACGCAGACACACACACUCACACAGAGACGCACUUUCACACUGAGGUCACAUUUUGAGUUUCGACUACUACUGAAACUGAUAAGCACUCAUAAGUAAACAAUACGUGAUUAUGCAACUCAAGCAGAACCUUGAGCUGAACAACUUAAGCCGGCCCCAUAAAACCACCCACUGGACGUUUCUGAUUAACAGCCUCGAAGACAGUCAAGGCUCAGACUGAGACAGAUAACAGUUGAGUUUCUGACCCUUAUUCUCACUUCAGGAAUGGGACAAAAAAUGCUGCCAUAGAGAAACAAGAAUAUGGGAACAACCUACCUAAGAAAUAUGUGUGAAGUUUAGUGCUUCCAUCCACGUAAUCCUAACAAAGGUGUGCCAUACUGAAGCCUUUUUUUUAGUCUAAUACAAAUAUUUCAAAUAAUAAUGCAGCAAGCACAGAAAAGACAUUGGAUCAUUAUGCGAGUGACAUUACUAAUGUCAGAUAACUAGAUUAUAGAGGUUUGUUGCAAUAUAGUUGGAUAAGAAAAUAUCAAAAGCUGAUGAUAUUUUGGAACUGUAAAAUUUAACUUAUCAUUAUGAGGACACGCAGAUAUAGCUGUCCAAUAUUUGCCCUGCUUACUGAUAUCGCAUAUCAGAAAAUAAGACAGCAUUCACCACCGUCAGUGGCUGAUAUUCAUCGGUUGCACUGGCUACAUGUUUUAAAUAUGAGUAGUAAAGAGUUUGAAGACUUCUUAAAAGUGUUAACUUUUAUUAAGAUUAUUUAAGAUUUAUUUUUUCCCCUAGGAAAACUAAAUAACAACAAAAAAAACCCUGAACAAAAAUACAUUAUAAAACUUGAACAUCUGGGGUCUAAAUCAGAGAAGACAUUGUUUGGCCUAAUCUUCUCUAAGGCAUGUGUCAGUGGCAAAAGACUCAAAGAAAUAAAAAUCUGGACACAAUUUCUAUGCAAACCUGAAUGCAAAUAAUAUUCCUAUCAUUUAAAUCAGCUACAAGCAUAAUUCCCUCAUUUGCCACAGAGCCUGAGCUGCUUCUCCUCUCACAAGUGGCAGCAGGGUAAAGGUCUUGCUGACUGAGCAGCAAUGAGUUUGGGGAAACAUAAAAGGAAGUAAGCAGCCACAGUGAAAAAAGUGCAGUGGUAGUAAGUGCUCAGCUAACGUGACUAUGGUUGGAUGAAAAGACAGAAAUGCACGAAAGUCAAACAGGCCAUCGUCAUUAGCUCAGCGCAGGCUGUUGUUACCGAUCCAUCUGUCUCACAAGAAAUCAUCUAAUGAAUCAGAUGCACACUCUGAGACAUCCAAGGAGAGAGGAGGGGGACAGUGGAUUUCUGCAAUCCUCUAUCAGAUGUCGAGUACAUUUCUGAGCUGCAAGAGCACAGAGGUCACACCUAAUAUAAACUCAAUCUGUCCAGUUUCUUCCAGGGACAAGAUUUUCCUCAUUUUUAAUUUAUGAAUUCAGUUAAAUUUACUGCAAAGCUGCUUCAACAUAUUAUCAUUCGACUGGCUUCUAUGUAGAUAUUAGAGCAUAUUUGAUGACUGAGUUUAAAUUUCCUUACUACACUAAAAGCAACAUCUACUGUUUUCACCAUGAAGCAUCAGCUGCUAUUUAUAUCACGUUAUGCUUUUAUUUUGGCUAUUUUUGGACAAAAGUGCAGAAACAAGGGAUGAAAUUUGUGGUGUCACAGAUAAAUCUGAUUGCUACUCCCUCUUCCCUACUCCAUCAGGAUUAUAAAUCUAAUGCCUACUUAUGAAAGCUCUCUCGCAAUCUCCAUUUACAAAAAGGAGGGGUGGGAGUUGUGAUCUUGGCACAAAGCAUCUCUGCCAGUGGCGGUGCUCUUUGCGGCCAUUAAAACUGACACACAGAGCAUGCAUUGUUGGAAACACCUGCUGGAGAUGGGAACCAACAGUCCACAGGUUUCAGGCUGCAAAAAAUACCCGCUUCUUUGCAAACGAAUGGUGGUGUUUAGUCCCUGCUCUGGCACCAACUGUCUCCCUCGUGGCCCAGUUUCCAGUCACACGGGGCUUUUCUCUCCUGUCUCUUCAGUUCUGCUUACAUCUCACCUUUCCUACAGCCUCGAUAAAGGAAUAAUCAUACUAUUGUUGGUCCAGAUUCAGCUUUAAAGUAUCUGCUUACAAUUUACAGUACUGUCCCCCACCAUCAGUACCACUACACCUCAUUCUCCAUUCGGUGCACAUACAUUAGUGAUAUUUAGCAGUCCUUGCCUAGACAUUUUAGUGUACUUUCAGGGAAGGCUGAAAACUUGCAGUUUUCUAAAUGAAUGCAAUGCCAAGUUAUGAGUAUCACAGUCACAUAGGUGUGAUAGAUCCAGGGGAAAGCACAGGAUGACACCCUAUACUCAACAGCGGCUCACCUCAUGAAUUAUUUCAAGCAGUAGAGAUGCUUUGUUUGGACUACUUCUCCACUACAUUGUAGAGAAAUGCUGUUCAUCUGAAAACCAUGCUUGUUUUUCAUGUACAUGUCAGCGCACUCUGCAGCUAAAUGUUACCUUAUGUGUGCACUGAAGGGAGUUUGGGGCCCCAGAUGGAAGAGUGAGGAGCCACAGUAAAGUGGGUGGGUACUAUGGGAAUGGCCUCCGUUAUAGAUCCUUUUCAGCAAUAAUGCCAUUACCCUAAUUUUGCAGAUUCUUUAGAAUGCUGGAUCUUUCUAGAAGUGGUCCUAAGUUAGUGUUUAGCCAGAUGCAAUGUGUGCCUUGUCAGAGUCAGAGAGAAGCAGCUAUACUUUUCUCUGCCAGUUAAAAAAAGGGUUGGUGGGUUUAAAUGGGUUCACUACUACAAUCCCAGCCCACAUGAUAAUUACACCGUCACUAUGGAGGAGAAGCCGGCAGAAGACGGGCUCUGACCGGGUUCUAACGCCAGGUCUCUCCUUCCGCUCUCGAUCAUAGCAGCCACCAGCCGCGACACUGCCCCGGGUCCUGCGUUCUUCUGCGCCCGGGCCCAGUGAAACAGCAUGUCCAGGACCAAGGCACCCAGGUUGUCUCUGGUGAAGGAAGGAAAGGAAGGAAAAGACACCACUGAAAUAUAUGUUCAAAUCCCACAAUAAACCCUCUAAUCUCCUACUGUUAUACCUGUUAUAUCACACAGUAAUAUGUGUGAUAUCUUAAUAUAUACGUACAUUAAAAUCCUACACACAAAUACAAACACAGACACACACACACACACACACACACACACACACACACACAUAUACACACAUUUACAUAAUACGUUUUUCUUCCACCUCCAGGAUGAAUCAAUAGAGGUUUUCUGAACACGAGGAGAAGGGGGAGGGCCAGAUGAGCAUCAGUCUGUGUGUAAUCUCCUGCAGUGUCCCAGAUGGCUUCAUGAUGGCAGUGCAGAUUAAAACAAUCAAAAUUCUCUA